RNAcentral lists this ribosomal RNA (389 nucleotides) under uncultured bacterium. RNAcentral describes it as "bacterial SSU rRNA". It matches the Rfam family "Bacterial small subunit ribosomal RNA", at positions 29 to 408 of the family's 1533-position model. The record is from RNAcentral.
AACGAACGCUGGCGGCGCGCCUAAUACAUGCAAGUCGAGCGAGAAGACGUAGCAAUACGUUUGUAAAGCGGCGAACGGGUGAGGAAUACAUGGGUAACCUACCCUCGAGUGGGGAAUAACUAGCCGAAAGGUUAGCUAAUACCGCGUACGCUCCUUGGACUUCGGUUCAGGGAGGAAAGCGAUACCGUGGGUAUCGCGCUCUUGGAGGGGCUCAUGUCCUAUCAGCUUGUUGGUGAGGUAACGGCUCACCAAGGCUUCGACGGGUAGCUGGUCUGAGAGGACGAUCAGCCACACUGGCACUGCGACACGGGCCAGACUCCUACGGGAGGCAGCAGUAAGGAAUAUUGCGCAAUGGGCGAAAGCCUGACGCAGCGACGCCGCGUGGGGGA